AGAGAUGUUCACCUGGUUUGUCAGCACCAAACUCUGGACGAUAUCAUUUUGAUCAAUCCAUUUGAUGAUAAAGAUAAUGACUUUCUGCCUGAUCAUUUGGAACUGGACCGUCUCAAAACAGAUUCCAAGAUUGCAGAUCCCCCUGUUUUGGUUAUAACAGGCCACAUUUUCAGCGAAAGGAAAAAGAAGAGGCUGCAAAGUUCAGGCAUUUAUAAGGAUAUAAAAUUUGAGAAAAGGGGACCUGCUGCUUCAGCAAGGUAUUGGGUCUUGUUUGAUCAAAAGAACUGUAACCAAAUUGGAUUCCAAGUCAAAAUUGGACAGCCAAAUUUUCAGCUUCUUCACCAGAAAGCUUCACCUCUAACUGCUUCAGGAUG
This 374-nucleotide long non-coding RNA is filed under the name Theobroma cacao (cacao). RNAcentral describes it as "long non-coding RNA (TCAC_LNC003274)". The record is from RNAcentral. Lineage: Eukaryota; Viridiplantae; Streptophyta; Magnoliopsida; Malvales; Malvaceae.